AUGGGCAAACUAGUUGCAGCAAUAGGCAAGUUGCUCUGCUGUGUACAAGUGGACCAGUCAACAGUAGCCAUCAAGGAAAGAUUUGGGAAAUUUGAGGAUGUGCUUGAUCCCGGGUGUCACUGUGUGCCAUGGAUUAUCGGAAGCCGUGUCAGUGGUAAGCUUACACUUAGGCUUAGGCAAAUGGACGUUCGCUGUGAGACAAAGACAAAGGUACUCUUACAAUUCACUUCUCGAAUUAUCCACUCAAAACACCCCCAUGCAUCACAAAAACUUGUAGAGAUCACAUUGAUUUAUGCGAUCUAUUUUCUGCUGACACUAUGCAUCAUCUUACAGGACAAUGUUUUUGUUACAAUUGUUGCAUCCAUUCAAUACCGAGCAAUGGAGGACAAAGCAAAUGAUGCGUACUAUAAGCUGAGCAACCCAAAAUCUCAAAUCCAAUCUUAUGUCUUUGAUGUUAUCAGAGCAAGCAUUCCCAAACUACAACUGGAUGAUGUUUUUGAGCAAAAGAACGACAUAGCAAAAUCUGUGGAGCAGGAGCUUGAGAAGGCUAUGUUUGCUUAUGGCUAUGAGAUUGUGCAGACACUAAUUGUUGAUAUAGAGCCAGAUGAAAAGGUUAAAAAGGCUAUGAAUGAAAUUAAUGCCGCUGCAAGAAUGCGUGUUGCGGCAAAUGAGAAGGCAGAGGCAGAAAAGAUCGUUCAAAUCAAGAGAGCUGAGGGUGAGGCUGAAGCUAAGUAUCUCUCUGGCCUUGGAAUUGCAAGGCAGCGGCAGGCAAUAGUUGAUGGCCUCAGAGACAGUGUGCUUGGCUUUUCUGGCAAUGUGCCCGGGACUUCCGCCAAGGAUGUGAUGGACUUGGUUCUGCUCACCCAAUACUUUGACACCAUGAAAGAGAUUGGUGCUUCAUCCAAAUCUUCUGCAGUUUUCCUCCCGCAUGGCCCAGGUGCCGUUGCAGACAUUGCCAGUCAGAUUCGCAAUGGAUUUCUUCAGGCGUCCACACAUCAUGCCUGA
RNAcentral lists this ribosomal RNA (1005 nucleotides) under Triticum aestivum (bread wheat). Its description in RNAcentral is "partial small subunit ribosomal RNA". Lineage: Eukaryota; Viridiplantae; Streptophyta; Magnoliopsida; Poales; Poaceae. The record is from RNAcentral.